Long non-coding RNA from Dermochelys coriacea (leatherback sea turtle), 626 nucleotides. RefSeq lists it as uncharacterized. NCBI's taxonomy places the organism in Eukaryota, Metazoa, Chordata, Testudines, Dermochelyidae. The transcript has 5 exons. The record is from RefSeq and is a predicted model, not a curated record.
UGCCAUUGGCUGGAGCAACUGCUGGGAGGAGCAACUCCAAGAAACAGAGGGACAGAAGGGGAAAUGGGUAAAGUCCUGUUAUCACAAAGGGCUUUGAAGCAAGAAACAGGAACUUUUGGGUUGAUGAACAGGAACUUUUGUGAAGGCUUGAAAUAAAAACCACAGCAAUUAACUUCACACUACCCUGUCUGGAUUCUGUGAGAAGGCCCCAGGCAGCAUUUCCCCAAGGAGUAAGCUGGCUCUGCAGGCACCACUCUGGGUCCAGCCAAAAGAGGGCACUAUAAGGCUUUGCCCGUGCAGCAGAAUAAUUCACACUACUUAGGGGAAAUUACACUUGCUAAUUAACCACAAGGAGAAGAAUUGCUUUAUCAGCCAUUGGCAACUGCCUCAUCUUCGUCAAGAUGACAAGAAGAAAUUCGAGCAGUACAGAGCCACAAACCGCUCGAGAAAUGCAAGCUGGGCAUUGUUGCAACGGGGAAAUAGAAGGCAUAACACAGAAGUCAUGACUGUGCAACUCUUGCUCAGAUACACCCACAGUAUCCUAGAAGACAACAGUGGCUGCAAUGAGGAGCUUACACUGUGGGGCAAGAGGAGUAUGUAUCUUCCUGUCCUCACCUACAGUGGAC